GGAAUUAUUGGGCGUAAAGCGUCUGUAGGUGGCUUUUUGAGUCCGCCGUCAAAUCCCAGGGCUCAACCCUCGACAGGAGUGGAAACUACCAAGCUGGAGUACGGUAGGGACAGAGGAAAUUUCUGGUGGAGCAGUGAAAUGCGUAGAGAUCGGGAAGAACACCAAUGGCGAAAGCACUCUGUAAAAAAAGAAUAUUGAGACAGUUAUGAAUUCCAUC
This 217-nucleotide non-coding RNA is filed under the name Daucus carota subsp. sativus. RNAcentral's name for it is "Bacterial small subunit ribosomal RNA". It matches the Rfam family "Bacterial small subunit ribosomal RNA", at positions 547 to 773 of the family's 1533-position model. Lineage: Eukaryota; Viridiplantae; Streptophyta; Magnoliopsida; Apiales; Apiaceae. The record is from Rfam by way of RNAcentral.